This 429-nucleotide ribosomal RNA is filed under the name Acidobacteriota bacterium. Its description in RNAcentral is "Acidobacteria bacterium partial 16S ribosomal RNA". It matches the Rfam family "Bacterial small subunit ribosomal RNA", at positions 355 to 776 of the family's 1533-position model. The record is from RNAcentral. Lineage: Bacteria; Pseudomonadati; Acidobacteriota.
UGGGGAAUUUUGGACAAUGGGGGAAACCCUGAUCCAGCCAUUCCGCGUGUGCGAUGAAGGCCUUCGGGUUGUAAAGCACUUUUGGCAGGAAAGAAACGUCAUGGGUUAAUACCCCGUGAAACUGACGGUACCUGCAGAAUAAGCACCGGCUAACUACGUGCCAGCAGCCGCGGUAAUACGUAGGGUGCAAGCGUUAAUCGGAAUUACUGGGCGUAAAGCGUGCGCAGGCGGUUCGGAAAGAAAGAUGUGAAAUCCCAGAGCUCAACUUUGGAACUGCAUUUUUAACUACCGGGCUAGAGUGUGUCAGAGGGAGGUGGAAUUCCGCGUGUAGCAGUGAAAUGCGUAGAUAUGCGGAGGAACACCGAUGGCGAAGGCAGCCUCCUGGGAUAACACUGACGCUCAUGCACGAAAGCGUGGGGAGCAAACAGG